Non-coding RNA from Nicotiana sylvestris (wood tobacco), 109 nucleotides. The record is from Rfam. Lineage: Eukaryota; Viridiplantae; Streptophyta; Magnoliopsida; Solanales; Solanaceae.
AUGGAUGUGAUGAUUAUUUCCCCAGAUGAUCGAAGUUGAAAUUACUGAGCGCUUUUUUAUGUAUUUUCUUCCUUCUGGGAGAAAAUCCAAGCCAGAUAUUCUGAUCCAU